This is a long non-coding RNA of Megalobrama amblycephala (Wuchang bream), 3251 nucleotides long. RefSeq lists it as uncharacterized. The transcript has 2 exons. The record is from RefSeq and is a predicted model, not a curated record. NCBI's taxonomy places the organism in Eukaryota, Metazoa, Chordata, Actinopteri, Cypriniformes, Xenocyprididae.
UAUUUUAAUGAAAUUUUAUGAAUUAAACAGCUCAUAAACAUACUUUAUCACUACAAAAAACACUACAGAACCUUUUUGGCAUAAAGAGUACAACUGAGUCAAGAACCCUAGGUUUUUCUAUAGAAACCCAAUGAACUAAGAGUGUACCCUUAAAAGACAAACCCCAAAUUCAUCUAAAGUGUCUUAGCCCUACACUUGAGUAACAUUUCAAAAUCCUGCUGACAGCAGAGGGCACCAGACUGGCUAUAGUUAGUUCAGAUAAACAUGUUCCACCUUUGGCAUUUGACCAUUUGCUUGUAAAAAUGCUCUCUUGACAGGCUUGUGUGUUCCUUAGAAGUCUCUAAUUGAUUGAAUUGGCUCUGGUCAGCAUAAAUGUGAUAUGUUUUGCGCACUUAUACAUAUGCUCACAGACCCAGGAGAGCUGUAUUUAGGCCAUAGACAUAGUGUAAGAGUGUCAUCAACGCAAUCAUGAGUGUGUGCUAAUGAUUUUGAAGGCCUGAGGCCAUGUUAUGUCGUAAGAGUUAUACUUUACUGCUAGCUUCCUAUCUUUACUAGUCCAAGUUUAGGGUUACAUCAUUGUCACAAUGCUAACAUAAUGUGGAAUAAUACUCAUAAGAAAACAGAUGAGGGGAAUGAUAACUACUUUGAUUUAUUUGACCACAUAAUGAGGUCUUUAUUUAAAUGUCACUGAAACUGACAGAAAGGCUGGUUGUUAUGUGCUACAGAAGAAGUGUGCUAAUAUAUGAGUUGAAUAGCUCGGUAUCAUAUUCUGCCUUGCUGAUUUAAUUAAAUCCACACAGAUAUUGUUUUUUUAUUUUUCAGUUAAUGGCUGGGGAGCAACAAUAAGAGCAGCUCUAUCAUGAAUUGCCCCAAUAUGAAACCAACUAAGUCAUAUAUUUAUACAAGAUCAUCUGCAUUUUUCCAGUAAUUUGUAAGUGACGGAGAUCAGCCCAUCCCCCUUCGACAGCAUGUUCUGAGACAGUGAUGGGCGUAUCUACAGGAGUGAUUUUUCAAAGAUAGCUGUGGUCACUAGCAAAACCCAACGCAAUCAUGUGAGACACUUCUGGGAGGUCAUUAUACCGAUUCAUUCUGAUGACAGACUCUGGCUCAGGCAUUUCAGACUGAUCAAACUAACAUUUGAGAUGCUGUACAAUGAAAUUAGUCCGCUGGUUAGUCCAGUUAUCCAAUUACAUCCAAUGUUGAAGCAAAGUCACGUUAGGUUUUUUUUUUUUUUUUUUUUUGUUUCACAUCAAGGGAUUUAUUCAGUAAAUGUGUUUCCGUUGUAAUUUAUACGCAUUUCUUCUUAUUGGAUAAAAAAUGUCCACCUCACUUGAGUGCGUAAUGUGCAUUUUUAGUAUUUAUACCCAUCUUGGUGUGUCCAUCCAGUAAUUUUUAUUGCAAUUAUCCAAAUAGCUGGAUGGAAACAUAGCUUUUGUUUCACCAAACAAUUUGAGAGUUUGCUGCAUUACUAAUAAGCCCAAAAUAUAUGCAAUCAAUGAAGUCUGAUUCAGAAAUGAAUGACUCUUAUGAUCCAGUCCUUCUUAGUGAAUUAAUACAGCACGACCAGUGAGUGAAAGAUCUUAUGAUCUGGUUCUUUUUAAUGAAUCACAAACAAAUAGUAGAGCAGGUUCUUAAAUAAUCUAAAAUAUGUUGGCACUUUUUUUUUUUUUUUUUUUUUUGGUUCAUGACAGAAUUUUCAUUUUUGGGUGAACUAACCCUUUAACGGUAAGCUAAUCAAUAACUGUACAGGUUCAUAAUCAAUGUUAAUAAUGCAUAAUGUAUAAUAAAUUCUAGAGUAAAGGUAAUGGUAACCCACUAGUAAUGACUCAAGUAUCACUAAAUCCUUCAGAUGUAACUCCCUUGUAAUUACUGAAAUCAUUAAGUAAGUAAGCUUUGGAAGUUUUUGUAAGGUUUUGGAUAGUUAUUCCUUCUGAAGGAUUUGGUAACACUUGAGUCAUUACUGUACAAGCCUACAAGGUGAGUUUUAUUUAAAUUAAUAUGACAUGAUUUGUAUGUAAAUAUACGAUUUUUAGAAAAAGAUUAUGCUUGAAGUUCCACCCCUAUACCUAACCCUCAGCAGGGUUUAAGCAGAAAAUGUAUGAAUGUGAUUGUACAGAUUCAUUAAAUUAGCCACCGGUUCGCCAAAUCGUAAAAUAGUUAGGAACUGCUGUUUUGGUUUCGUGUAUACUGUAUGUGUGUUAAAAUACCUAAAGUGUGUAUGUACGGCUUGCUGAUUGUAUGUGUUUGUAUAGCAACAUUGUUUACUCUGCGUAUGCUUGGCUGCUGUGGGUGGACUGUACAGGGAAAACCCCAGGUGCUAAAACAGGCCACAUACAGUAGGCAGGACAGAGGCUUUAAGUCCUACUGUUACCAUAAUGGUUGCCCCUACAAGGCCUGCAAGACAGAAAUAAAGUCUGAUUGAGACAGUACCGUUGUGACAGCAGCUGUGGACUGCAAGUGUAUAUGUGGAUAUAAAGUACAAGGGGGUGUGUAAGUGGAGCUGUGAAGCAUGACCACGCAACCGCCAGAGGAAGAGUGUCUGAUUUCAUAGGGCACUCUAGGCCUUUCCACCUGACCGUACAGACACAGAAGGAGAACAAGAACAAUGCAAGGACAGACAAGGAUAAUACUUAAAAGCAAGCCAGAGGAAGCUACAGACUCAAAUUAUUUGACCAACAGUAAACUACUUAGAGAUAAGAAAGAAGUCGCCAACUGUUUCCCUUACAGUUUAUUGCAAUUUUGACUCCAACAGAUUCCAUCCACCUAUCAUGAAUUCAAUAUAGAACUUUUAGAGAACAAGACAGAAGAAUUUAGGGUAUGUUUACACAACAACAAUGUACUAAAAACAGAAAAGUUUUUCCUUUGUGUUUUUAGCGUACAGACGACAAUGUUGUCAAAAUGAUUCAUGUUCACAGGGAAAAGGCUGUAUUAUUCAUGCCAGGCCAGUAGUUGGCGAUGUCACUUUGUAAAGAAACACGUAAUACACGUGCGCAUGCAGAAAUUCACGUUUUUGUAGUUUACAAAGAGACAGUAACGUUAUCGUUUUUAAAAACGUACACUUUGAAACUCAUUUUCAAAAGUUUGCGUUUUCAGGCCCCCAAAACAUGAACAGCUAAAACGUACAAGAAAUUUUCAGUUUUUAGUUGAAAACCGUGUUGUGUAAACGGCCCCAAAUAUUUACAUUUGUAAGAAUAAGAAAUAAGAAUUCAAUUUUGAAAAAUAUUUGUUUAAAGUUACGUGUGAGCAAAAGA